Molecule: ribosomal RNA, 452 nt
Filed under: uncultured bacterium
Lineage: Bacteria
Description: bacterial SSU rRNA
Rfam family: Bacterial small subunit ribosomal RNA
Source: RNAcentral
UACGGGAGGCAGCAGCGGGGAAUAUUGCACAAUGGGCGCAAGCCUGAUGCAGCCAUGCCGCGUGUAUGAAAAGGCCUUCGGGUUGUAAAGUACUUUCAGUCGUGAGGAAGGUGUUAAGGUUAAUAACCUUAGCAAUUGACGUUAGCGACAGAAGAAGCACCGGCUAACUCCGUGCCAGCAGCCGCGGUAAUACGGAGGGUGCGAGCGUUAAUCGGAAUUACUGGGCGUAAAGGGCACGCAGGCGGUUAAUUAAGUUGGAUGUGAAAUCCCCGGGCUUAACCUGGGAAUGGCAUUCAAGACUGGUUAGCUAGAGUCUUGUAGAGGGGGUAGAAUUCCAUGUGUAGCGGUGAAAUGCGUAGAGAUGUGGAGGAAUACCGGUGGCGAAGGCGGCCCCUGGACAAAGACUGACGCUCAUGUGCGAAAGCGUGGGGAGCAAACAGGGAUUAGAUACC